GAAAUGCGAUAAGUAGUGUGAAUUGCAGAAUUCAGUGAAUCAUCGAAUCUUUGAACGCACAUUGCGCCCCUUGGUAUUCCAUGGGGCAUGCCUGUUCGAGCGUCAUUUGUACCCUCAAGCUCUGCUUGGUGUUGGGUGUUUGUCCCCGUCUCCGCGCGUGGACUCGCCCCAAAGUGAUUGGCAGCCGGCGUACUGGUCCCGGAGCGCAGCACAUGUCGCGCAAACGAGUGCCUUGGUACGGCGGCGUCCAUAAGCCCCUCUCUCACGCUCUUGACCUCGGAGCAGGUAAGGAUACCCGCUGAACUCAAGC
RNAcentral lists this unclassified non-coding RNA (310 nucleotides) under plant metagenome. RNAcentral describes it as "partial contains 5.8S ribosomal RNA, internal transcribed spacer 2, and large subunit ribosomal RNA". The stretch from base 1 to 105 matches the Rfam family "5.8S ribosomal RNA", at positions 50 to 154 of the family's 154-position model. The record is from RNAcentral.